This 431-nucleotide ribosomal RNA is filed under the name uncultured bacterium. RNAcentral describes it as "partial 16S ribosomal RNA". It matches the Rfam family "Bacterial small subunit ribosomal RNA", at positions 29 to 507 of the family's 1533-position model. The record is from RNAcentral.
AGCGAACGCUGGCGGCAGGCUUAACACAUGCAAGUCGAGCGCCCCGCAAGGGGAGCGGCAGACGGGUGAGUAACGCGUGGGAACGUACCUUUUGGUUCGGAACAACUCCGGGAAACUGGAGCUAAUACCGGAUAAGCCCUAACGGGGAAAGAUUUAUCGCCGAAAGAUCGGCCCGCGUCUGAUUAGCUAGUUGGUGAGGUAACGGCUCACCAAGGCGACGAUCAGUAGCUGGUCUGAGAGGAUGAUCAGCCACACUGGGACUGAGACACGGCCCAGACUCCUACGGGAGGCAGCAGUGGGGAAUAUUGGACAAUGGGCGCAAGCCUGAUCCAGCCAUGCCGCGUGAGUGAUGAAGGCCUUAGGGUUGUAAAGCUCUUUUGUCCGGGAAGAUAAUGACUGUACCGGAAGAAUAAGCCCCGGCUAACUUCGUG